RNAcentral lists this long non-coding RNA (505 nucleotides) under Anser brachyrhynchus (Pink-footed goose). Its description in RNAcentral is "lncRNA (ENSABRG00000020064.1)". Lineage: Eukaryota; Metazoa; Chordata; Aves; Anseriformes; Anatidae. The record is from RNAcentral.
CAUGAUACUGCUCAGUUAUGAAAUAAGUUUAAAGGAAGCAUGGGAGACUCAUGACUUCUGAUAAUUAAGAUCUUGUUUUUACUUUUUAAAAAGCAAGUUUUUUUUUUUUUUAGGACCAGUAGCUGUAAAGAGCAUUUGAGUUGCCUAUUUCUAGCAUUUCCUUUUUCUAUACAUGGCUGAGUAGCUUUGCAGGGAUCAUAUGGCUAGGACUGGAACAGCAAAUCUGAGUGCUCUUGCGAGCGCCUCAAGUCUUAAUGGAGGUUGUGUCACAAUCAUGGAGCCGUAGGAGGAGCUGAAGCUAUUCCAGUACUCAUCAUACUCUGUAAAUUCUGUGCUGCUUCUUCCGAAGAGAAUGAGUGUUUUGGUGUUUUAGGGAAUUUGCGAGAUGAGCCCUUUUUGGAAAAGGAGGAAUCUUACUUAUGGACUCGAGUUCGACAGUGUUUCUUUUGACCCAAGAUGGAAGAAUUCAUCUAUCACGUUAACAAAUGUAAAUACGCUGUAUUAA